ACGCUCGACACCUACGGGGGGCAGCAGUGGGGGAAGUAUUGCACAAUGGGGGAAACCCGUACGAUGCAGCGACGCCGCGUGAGCGAAGAAGUAUUUCGGUAUGUAAAGCUCUAUCAGCAGGGAAGAAACUGACGGUACCUGACUAAGAAGCACCGGCUAAAUACGUGCCCGCAGCCGCGGUAAUCUGAGCGGGCUGGCAAGGC
RNAcentral lists this ribosomal RNA (203 nucleotides) under uncultured bacterium. Its description in RNAcentral is "partial 16S ribosomal RNA". It matches the Rfam family "Bacterial small subunit ribosomal RNA", at positions 328 to 539 of the family's 1533-position model. The record is from RNAcentral.